UGCUGCCUAUUUUUAGAGCCACUGCCGGCUGGUGCUUCUACCCCUUUUUGGCUUCUUAAGUUUUCCCGAGAAAACAGCAGCAGGUGCCGACAGAGCUGUGUCCCCAGUGGAUGACUCAGAAUCGCGGCCCGGCCCCACUGGGUUAUUUUUGAAGUCCUCGCACACAGCAGCUCGGACACUUCUGCGAGGGAACUCCCGGGGACCCCGCGCCCUUGCCCACGCGGAGCCCAGCUCCCCGGAGAUCCCGCACACACGCCGUGCGCGCUCCCCGCACAGACAUUCGCGCACCCGACUCCACCGACCCCCCCCCACACACACACACACGCCAACACCGGCCGCCGCUGCCCUGGGCCCCCUCCACGCGCUGCGCACGCCUCGGCUCUCUGCUGUGGCCUGGGAAAGCAGUAGAAGAUGGCCCAAGUCCUUGGACCCCUGCACCCGGAAGAAACUCCUGGCUUCUGGCUUCAGAUCGGUGCAGCUCCGGCUGUUGUGGCCAUCUGGGGAGUGAACCAGCAGAUGGAAGACCUCUCUCUCUGUCUCUACCUCUCUCUGUAACUCUGUCUUUCAAAUAAAUAAAAUAAACCUUUAAAAUAGGGUGUUACACUCCUGACUGUAUCGGGUGGUUAUAAGCAUAAGAGGUGAUGCACAUCCAGUGCUCAGUAAAUGGGAGUGAUACUGUGCUAAGAGGGCUCUGUUUUGCCACGCGCUCAGGGGGAAACUGGCCUAGGUCCAUGGUUUUCAAGCCUGAACAUGCAUCAGAAUCCUCUGGAUGCAGGGUGAGCGUUAUGGUACCAUGGGUUAAGCCACUGCUUGGGAUGCCCACAUCCAUAUUGGAGGAUCUGGGUUUCAGUCCUGCCUCUGCUUCUGAUCCGGCUUCCUGCUAAUGUGCCUAGGAGGCAGAUGAUAAUGAGUCCCGGCCACCUACAUGGGGACUCGGAUCAAGCUCCCAGCUCUUGGCUUUGGCCUGGCUCAGCCCGGGCUGUUGCAGGUAUUUGGGGAGUAAGUCAGCAGAUCACCCUCUCCUUUCGCUGUCAUUCUUUCAAAUAAAUAAAUUGAUUAAAAAAAAAAAAAACCUGGAGCUGGAGGGCUUAUUAAAACUUUCCUGGGCUAGGGCUGGUGCUGGUGCUGGCACUGUGGCGCAGGGGGUUAAAGCCCCAGUCUGCAGCGCCAGCAUCCCAUACGGGUGCCGGUUUGAGUCCCGGCUGCUCCACUUCCAAUAGCACUCCCUGCUAACGUACCUGGGAAAGCAACGGAGGAUGGCCCAAGUGCUUGGACCCCUAAACCCAUGUGGGAGAUCCAGAAGAGGCUCCUGGCUUCAGAUUGGUUCAGCUCUGGCCAUUGCAGGUGCAGCUCCGGCUGUUGUGGCCAUCUGGGGAGUGAACCAGCAGAUGGAAGACCCCACUCUCUCUGUCUCUACCUCUUUCUGUAACUCUUUCAAAUAAAUAAAAUAAAUCUUUAAAAACAAGCAAACAAACAGACUUUACUGGGCUUCACACCAGACUUUCUGAUUCAGCAGCUCUGGGAUUGGGCCUGAG
This is a non-coding RNA of Oryctolagus cuniculus (rabbit), 1535 nucleotides long. The record is from RefSeq and is a predicted model, not a curated record. Lineage: Eukaryota; Metazoa; Chordata; Mammalia; Lagomorpha; Leporidae.